CUUCUGGUGUCCCCCUGCUCUUCUGUCGUCUGCCAGUGAUACUGGAGGUGCUGUAGUCUAUCAUGGGGCAGUUUUAGCACAGAUCCCAGCAGCCUCUCUCUGACAUCAGCCUUAUUUCCCUAACAAAUUCUCUGUAUUGAAGAACCAUCCUGUGUAUCCACACAUCUUCAUUUUAAUCCGAUAUACCUUUGGAUCCAGCGCUUCUAAGAACAUGUAUAGUCUGUUUUCCAGUGUCGAUGCCAUUACCCCGUGAGCCAUUCUCUCUGCCCCAGCACACCAGCUUGUUUCCUGCCACGCGUGAAGCAUAACAGGCAUGUACCCAUCUCAGGAUUGUGGUGCCUGCUUUGCUUAUGAAC
Meriones unguiculatus (Mongolian gerbil) is the source of this 356-nucleotide long non-coding RNA. RefSeq lists it as uncharacterized. NCBI's taxonomy places the organism in Eukaryota, Metazoa, Chordata, Mammalia, Rodentia, Muridae. The record is from RefSeq and is a predicted model, not a curated record. The transcript is spliced from 3 exons.